Molecule: ribosomal RNA, 253 nt
Filed under: uncultured bacterium
Lineage: Bacteria
Description: partial 16S ribosomal RNA
Rfam family: Bacterial small subunit ribosomal RNA
Source: RNAcentral
UACGGAGGGUGCAAGCGUUAUCCGGAUUUACUGGGUUUAAAGGGUGUGUAGGCGAGCUUUUAAGUCAGUGGUGAAAUCUCCGGGCUCAACCCGGAAACUGCCAUUGAUACUAUUAGUCUUGAAUUCUGUUGAGGUAGGCGGAAUAAGUCAUGUAGCGGUGAAAUGCAUAGAUAUGACUUAGAACACCAAUUGCGAAGGCAGCUUACUAAACAGAUAUUGACGCUGAGGCACGAAAGCGUGGGGAUCAAACAGG